RNAcentral lists this ribosomal RNA (478 nucleotides) under uncultured anaerobic ammonium-oxidizing bacterium. RNAcentral's name for it is "bacterial SSU rRNA". It matches the Rfam family "Bacterial small subunit ribosomal RNA", at positions 364 to 833 of the family's 1533-position model. The record is from RNAcentral.
UUUCGCAAUGCCCGAAAGGGUGACGAAGCGACGCCGCGUGAGUGAGGAAGGCCUUCGGGUUGUAAAGCUCUGUCAGGAGUUAAGAAAUAUAAGUGUGCUAAUACCACAUUUAUUUGACGAAGGCUCCAAAGGAAGCCACGGCUAACUCUGUGCCAGCAGCCGCGGUAAUACAGAGGUGGCAAGCGUUGUUCGGAAUUAUUGGGCGUAAAGAGCACGUAGGUGGGUUUGUAAGUCAGAUGUGAAAGCCUUCUGUUCAACGGAAGAAUUGCAUCUGAAACUGCGAGUCUUGAGUGUAGGAGGGGAGAAUGGAACUUCUGGUGGAGCGGUGAAAUGCGUAGAUAUCAGAAGGAACGCCGGCGGCGAAAGCGAUUCUCUGGCCUAUUACUGACACUGAGGUGCGAAAGUUAGGGGAGCAAACGGGAUUAGAUACCCCGGUAGUCCUAGCCGUAAACGAUGGGCACUAAGUAGAGGGGUUUUA